This 1563-nucleotide ribosomal RNA is filed under the name Escherichia coli. Its description in RNAcentral is "bacterial SSU rRNA". It matches the Rfam family "Bacterial small subunit ribosomal RNA". The record is from RNAcentral. Lineage: Bacteria; Pseudomonadati; Pseudomonadota; Gammaproteobacteria; Enterobacterales; Enterobacteriaceae.
AAAUUGAAGAGUUUGAUCAUGGCUCAGAUUGAACGCUGGCGGCAGGCCUACUUUACAUGCAGAGUCGAACGGUAACAGGGAAGAAGCUUUGCUAACUUUGCUGACGAGUGGCGGACGGGUGAGUAAUGUCUGGGAAACUGCCUGAUGGAGGAUAACUACUGGAAACUUGGUAGCUAAUACCGCAUAACGCGUCGCAAGACCAAAGAGGGGGACCUUCGGGCCUCUUGCCAUCGGAUGUGCCCAGAUGGGAUUAGCUUGUUGGUGGGGUAACGGCUCACCUAGGCGACGAUCCCUAGCUGGUCUGAGAGGAUGACCAGCCACACUGGAACUGAGACACGGUCCAGACUCCUACGGGAGGCAGCAGUGGGGAAUAUUGCACAAUGGGCGCAAGCCUGAUGCAGCCAUGCCGCGUGUAUGAAGAAGGCCUUCGGGUUGUAAAGUACUUUCAGCGGGGGAGGAGGGGUAAAGUUAGCCACCUUUGCUCAUUGACGUUACCCACCAGAAGAAGCUAUAAGCUAACUCCGUGCCAGCAGCCGCGAGUAUGCGGGAUUUACCGGCGUUAAUCCGGAAUUACUGGGCGUAAAAGCGCACGCAGGCGGUUUUGUUAAGUCGGAUGUGAAAUCCGGGCUCAACUUUGGGAACUUGCAUCUGAUACUGGCAAGCUUGAGUCUCGUAGAGGGGGGUAGAAUUCAGUUGUAGCGGGGUGAAAUGCGUGUGAGAUCUGGAGGGCUCUGGGGUGGCGAAGGCGGCCCCCGGACGGAAGACGACGCUUUCAGGUGCGAAAGCGUGGGGAGCAAACAGGAUUAGAAUACCACCGGUAGUCCACGCCGUAAACGAUGUCGACUUGGAGGUUGUGCCCUUGAGGCGUGGCUUCCGGAGCUAACGCGUUAAGUCGACCACACGGGGAGUACGGCCGCAAGGUUGAAACUCAAAUAUGAUUGACGGGGGCCCGCACAGGCUUGGUGGAGCAUGUGGUUUAAUUCGAUGCAACGCGAAGAACCUUACACAGUGUGACAUCCCACAGAACUUUCCAGAGGGUAGUUGGUGCCUUCGGGAACUGUGAGACAGGUACUGCAUGGCUGUCGUCAGCUCGUGUUGUGAAAUGUUGGGUUGGGAGUCCCGCAACGAGCGCAACCCUUAUCCUUUGUUGCCAGCGGUCCGGCCGGGAACUCAAAGGAGACUGCCAGUGAUAAACUGGAGGAAGGUGGGGAUGACGUCAAGUCAUCAUGGCCCUUACGACCAGGGCUACACACGUGCUACAAUGGCGCAUACAAAGAGAAGCGACCUCGCGAGAGCAAGCGGACCUCAUAAAGUGCGUCGUAGUCCGGAUUGGAGUCUGGCAACUCGACUCCAUGAAGUCUGGAAAUGCUGGUAAUCGUGGAUCCAGAAUACCGCCACGGCCAGGCCGUUCCCGGGCCUUGUACACACCGCCCGUCACACCAUGGGAGUGGGUUGCAAAAGUAGGUAGCUUAACCUUCGGGGGCGCACGGACUUCGCUGACUGGGGUGAAGUCAGCCAGCAGGCAGCCAUGGGGAACCUGCGGUUGGAUCACCUCACCUUAAA